This 250-nucleotide ribosomal RNA is filed under the name uncultured bacterium. Its description in RNAcentral is "partial 16S ribosomal RNA". It matches the Rfam family "Bacterial small subunit ribosomal RNA", at positions 29 to 285 of the family's 1533-position model. The record is from RNAcentral.
AACUAACGCUGGCGGCGCGUCUUAAACAUGCAAGUCAAACGGGUGUAGCAAUACACCAGUGGCGAACGGGUGAGUAACACGUAGAUAAUCUACCAUCGAGUUGGGGAUAACCUGUCGAAAGGCAGGCUAAUACCGAAUGGUAUCAUGCUAGCGAGAGCUGAUAUGAUUAAAGGAGCGAUUCGCUCGGUGAUGAGUCUGCGUCUGAUUAGCUAGUUGGUGAGGUAAUGGCUCACCAAGGCGACGAUCAGUA